CCGAGCAGCCGGGGAAUUAGCGGCUCCCUGUACCUUCAAUCCGCUAUAGUAGGGGUGAUGUCCUGCCUCGGGUUUGCAGCCGCGGAGCUGCCUUGUAUAAGUGGCGUUGAUCUUCGGGUCUUGCGCGACGGGAAUCUGUGAACCAGGUCAGGUCAGGAAUGAAGCAGCCUUAAGCGGAACCUCCCGGGUGCCGCAAGGGUGCCUGGAGUGAGCUAACUGUAGAAGUAACGUCCGUAUGUUGGAAUUCAAAGCAGGAUGCUCGU
RNAcentral lists this signal recognition particle RNA (263 nucleotides) under Eubacterium sp. RNAcentral's name for it is "signal recognition particle sRNA large type". It matches the Rfam family "Bacterial large signal recognition particle RNA". Rfam says of the family: The signal recognition particle (SRP) is a universally conserved ribonucleoprotein involved in the co-translational targeting of proteins to membranes. RNAcentral also lists the same sequence under 2 other names. The record is from RNAcentral. Lineage: Bacteria; Bacillati; Bacillota; Clostridia; Eubacteriales; Eubacteriaceae.